UGAGGAAUAUUGGGCAAUGCCCGCAAGGGUGACCCAGCAACGCCGCGUGGAGGAUGAAUGUCGUAAGAUUGUAAACUCCUGUUAGAGGGGAAGAAUAGUACCGGUUGGACCGGUAUAUGACUGUACCCUCAGAGAAAGCCCCGGCUAACUACGUGCCAGCAGCCGCGGUAAUACGUAGGGGGCAAGCGUUGUCCGGAUUUACUGGGUGUAAAGGGCGCGCAGGCGGGAUAAAAAGUCAGUGGUGAAAUCCUACAGCUUAACUAUAGAACUGCCUUUGAUACUUUUAUUCUUGAGUUCGGGAGAGAGAGACGGAAUUCCAGGUGUAGUGGUGAAAUACGUAGAUAUCUGGAAGAACACCAGUUGCGAAGGCGGUCUCUUGGUCCGAUACUGACGCUGAGGCGCGAAAGCGUGGGGAGCAAACA
This 422-nucleotide ribosomal RNA is filed under the name uncultured bacterium. RNAcentral's name for it is "bacterial SSU rRNA". It matches the Rfam family "Bacterial small subunit ribosomal RNA", at positions 355 to 774 of the family's 1533-position model. The record is from RNAcentral.